RNAcentral lists this ribosomal RNA (521 nucleotides) under Monoctonia vesicarii. Its description in RNAcentral is "partial 28S ribosomal RNA". Lineage: Eukaryota; Metazoa; Arthropoda; Insecta; Hymenoptera; Braconidae. The record is from RNAcentral.
UCAAAAGAUCGAAUGAAGAGAUUCAUCGUCAAUAUGUUUAAUAUUAAUAUAUAUUGUGAUAUAAAUUUUUUUAAAUUUUUAUAGUUUAUAUAAAAUUUAUACAUGUAUAUAUUAUUUUAUUGUUUUACAUUGUCGGCGUGCACUUCUCUUCUAGUAGGACAUCGCAACCCGUUAGAUAUUGAUUUACGGCCAAAUUGGGUAGCCUUUAAUCGAAUAAUAUCAAUUAAAGACCAAUUUGUGUUUCCUAAUCAAAUAUCUGACGGUAUUCGUAUGGUAUUAAGUCGCAAAUAUAAUAUAUAUAUGCGUUCUUAUCCGUCGCAAGUGAGGCCAGUUUAAUAUUAUCUAGUAGUUGCGGACUUAGUACCGUCACUAGACCUGGCCAACUGUUAGCUGUUACGGUAUUCUAGAACUGACUUAAAAUAUAAUUAAUACCGGUUGGCGAUGCUACUGCUUUGGGUACUUUCAGGACCCGUCUUGAAACACGGACCAAGGAGUCUAACAUGUACGCAAGUCAUUGGGAU